ACGCACGCUGGCGGCAUGCCUCACACAUGCCAGUCGAACGCGACCUUCGGGUCUAGUGGCGCACGGGUGCGUAACGCGUGGGAACCUGCCCUUAGGUUCGGAAUAACUCCCCGAAAGGGGUGCUAAUACCGGAUAAUGUCUUCGGACCAAAGAUUUAUCGCCUUUGGAUGGGCCCGCGUUGGAUUAGCUAGUUGGUAGGGUAAAAGCCUACCAAGGCGACGAUCCAUAGCUGGUCUGAGAGGAUGAUCAGCCACACUGGGACUGAGACACGGCCCAGACUCCUACGGGGGGCAGCAGUGGGGAAUAUUGGACAAUGGGCGAAAGCCUGAUCCAGCAAUGCCGCGUGAGUGAUGAAGGCCUUAGGGUGGUAAAGCUCUUUUACCCGGGAUGAUAAUGACAGUACCGGGAGAAUAAGCUCCGGCUAACUCCGU
Molecule: ribosomal RNA, 431 nt
Filed under: uncultured bacterium
Lineage: Bacteria
Description: partial 16S ribosomal RNA
Rfam family: Bacterial small subunit ribosomal RNA
Source: RNAcentral